RNAcentral lists this ribosomal RNA (253 nucleotides) under uncultured Oscillospiraceae bacterium. Its description in RNAcentral is "partial 16S ribosomal RNA". It matches the Rfam family "Bacterial small subunit ribosomal RNA", at positions 524 to 776 of the family's 1533-position model. The record is from RNAcentral. Lineage: Bacteria; Bacillati; Bacillota; Clostridia; Eubacteriales; Oscillospiraceae.
UACGGAGGAUGCGAGCGUUGUCCGGAUUUACUGGGUGUAAAGGGCGUGCAGCCGGGAGUGCAAGUCAGAUGUGAAAUCCCGCGGCUCAACCGCGGAACUGCAUUUGAAACUGUGCUUCUUGAGUGCUGGAGAGGCAGACGGAAUUCCUAGUGUAGCGGUGAAAUGCGUAGAUAUUAGGAGGAACACCAGUGGCGAAGGCGGUCUGCUGGACAGAAACUGACGUUGAGGCUCGAAAGCGUGGGGAGCAAAAAGG